CUGACUGACCUGCUGCUUCCCUGCGUGUCCUCCUCCCCACAGGGCAUGGCAUGCCCCCUGUUCCUACAAACUGCUUUUUAGCACGUAACAAAACCAUCAUGGCAUUCCCAGUACUUAUGUGAGCACUGACAUUGCGCCAGUCCUGCGCUGGGUGCUGGAGCACAACCGUCUCAUUCAGGCUCACCGACACCCGUGGAGGACAGCAGAAUCCUUACCAGAAAGUGAGACUGGAACGCAGAGCCUUCCCAGAGGACACAAACACAAAGCCUUCCUUCAAACAGCAAACAUAACUGACGCAGAAGCUGCGUGUCUGCCGCGUCCUGAGGCACACCUCCGCUCAGCCAGGCAUCUCGACCUCCCAGUCUGACAGCUCCAGAUAACAGCAUGCGGAACUGCCACCAGUGCAACCAAGUAGCCUGAAGAAACACAUGUCCCCGCGAAGAACGCCCACACAUACCCCAUCAAUGAUUCACUCCGUGUAGCCUAAGAAUAAUUUAAUUAUACAAUUAUGGGGUUUUAUCCA
This 523-nucleotide long non-coding RNA is filed under the name Mustela putorius furo (domestic ferret). RNAcentral's name for it is "lncRNA (ENSMPUG00000032051.1)". The record is from RNAcentral. Lineage: Eukaryota; Metazoa; Chordata; Mammalia; Carnivora; Mustelidae.